UGUAGUUUGCAUACUGCGUUACGUGAGAUCUCAUCCUCUCCCCGCCCUAGAGCCCUUUGCCGGUCAUUCCCGGCUCUCCGCCACAGCAGACGGCGGCCCCGGCGGGGCUGCAGACCUCAGGGGUGCCGCGGUGCCUGAGAAGGAUCGGACCGGCUCGCUCAGAGGAGCCGCGCCCGCUGCCGCCCAGGGCGGUCGGGGGAGCCGAGCCCCUUCCGCCGCCGCGGGAGGACCGAGCCCGCCUCGCUUCGGGGGUGUGGUGGCGGUGCGGAAAUCUCCCGCUUCUCCCCCCCAGCAGACCGGGAGGGCGAGGCCGGGGGUGCUCCCGGGCCGGGCGGGCUGCGAGGGUCCGCGCCAGGGGUGGCCACCAUUCCGGCCGGCAGCCGGGGGAGCGGCGCAGCCGGGGCGGGGGGAGGGAAGGGAAGGGGAGAGGCCGCCCCGCUCACCUGCCCGCCGGCGCCGGCGGGGGCCGCCGCCAUCUUAGAGCCCCGUGCUGGGCGGCCGCGGGGAAGGAGCGCGAGGCGCGGGGUGGGCGAGGGUGGGCAGGGCUGGGGGGGAACAGGAAGCGCUGUUGAGCCCCUGGAAUAACAGAAUCAAAGAAUCAGGUUGGUUGGAAAAGACCUCUGAGGUCAUGGAGUCCAACCUAUGACCAAACACCACCAUGUCAACCAGACUAUGGCACUAAGUGCCACAUCAUUAAAAAUCUCCAGGGACAGUGGCUUCACCAUCUCCCUGGGUAGUCCAUUCCAAUGUUUAGUCACCCUUUCUGUGAAGAAAUUCUUUAUAAUAUCCAAUGUAAACCUCCCUUGGCGGAGCUGAGGACUGUCUUCUUGUCCUGUCAGUGUUUACCUGGGAGAACAGUCCGACCCUCACCUGGCUACUCCCUCCUUUCAGCUAAUCCACACCGUAUGUGUUACUCCCUUGAAACUUGCAAAUCACCUUGGUGCCUGAGAGACCCUCUCCCGUGCCGGCUCCUGGAGGAGGCCCACUGCUGCGACAGCGCCUUGAAUUGAAUUUGGCUGUAAAGGAACACAAAAUGUUUAUGACAUCCACAUGUGCAAGCAACUGUUGCCAUGUUGCUAUUUAUAUAACCAUUUUACUGCAUAGCACAAGCUGAAGAAUAGAAAAAGCCAUUUCCAGUAUGUGUGUGUGCACGCAUGCAUGUAGGACAAUAGAAAAUGUUUGAUCAAGCAACAACAAAAAUAUGUCUGAAAACUUGGAGCUUUAUUUAGAAUUUAAUUUGCACUGAGUACUCGUUAGCAGAAAUAGUCAUUGUAAAUUAUAUGCAACUGAUACACAAAGAGCAAAAGUUGUGUGUGCAAAUAUAUGAAUAAGCUGUCCCUCAUGGAAUUAAUUAUGUGCAUGCCUUCGCUUGUUCAGACCACUGAAGCUAGAUGUAGUAUGUAUAAUGGAGGAAUGGAACUACAGUACAAGUAUUACAUUGCAAAUAUUUAAUUUUCUUGGAAAAAUUAUGUGGGUGGCUUCCAUUUCAGCUAGGUAGCUUUAAACAAAUAGAAACCUCAACUAAGAAAGACUAGACAUCAUAAAGGGAUAAAACUGACAACAGAAAUGUCUUUAAUACCUUAUUUUAGCUUCUAAAAAUAUCUCUAGGGUAUUUAAAAUCAUAAAAAGAGGAAAUCAAUGGAGAAGAAGAAACUGGUACAGAGAUCCGUACUUUUUUCAUUCUACAUUCAAGUUCAAUGUUUUCAAUCAACAAGACAGAUCUAUCAUUUUAGAAUUGCAAAAGACAAGAUGAUUAUUAAAGAAAACUUUGAUAAUAACAGUGACAUAUCAACUAGUCCAAUUAACAUGAUAGGACAGGCAAAUUCAGUAAUAAAGUAUGGGGAGAGAGAGAGGGAGGGAACCACUGGAAAGUAUUUUGUGCGUUCUGUCACAGAGGUGGGACAUACAAGGGUUGAGGUUUGUUCAGAUAUGUUUUGGGGGUUUGAGGUGCUUAUCUCUUUUAACUGGUAACUACAGACUUAGUCUGGAUGGAGACUUUAAAUGGAGACUUUAAAAUUCAGUAAAUUUAAUAUCUUUUUCUUUCUGCAUCUGCAAAUUGAUACUUAAAAUCCCCACCAAGUUUAAAGGAACUUGAGCAGAAAAUGAGUAUUUUUUUUUGUUCAGACUGAAUGAUCACCAUGUUUUACACUAGCUUGGUGGUGUUUUUUGUUUCCAAAAUACAUAAUCUGUCACCUAUGUAGUCCUAUUCCUGGAUUGCUGUCCAUAAAUGAUCAAAUAAGAUUAGCUCAGUUGGUUAGAGCAUGGUGCUAACACCACCAAGGUUGUGGGUUUGAUCCCCGUAUGGGCCAUUUACGUAAGAGUUGGACUUGAUGAUCCUUGUGGGUCCCUUCCAACUCAGAAUAUUGUGUGAAAUUUCUGUGAAAUGAUCACACAUCCUUCAGGUUACCCAGAAUAAUGACUGACUUGCUGUACAUGUUUUUCCAAAAAGUUCUCAUUAUAUUUAUGUAGUAAAAAUACUUAAUGUUCUUAUAUAAGGAUACACAGUUGCAACUUCAUAGUAUUUGAUAACAGAACAUAAAAAUAGGGGAAAGCACAGAUAGAUCUGUUUUUACUGACAAAGGGGAUAGGGCAGAACAGGAGAUUAUUACUUUUGUAAACCACCAGGUUACAGAUGCCUUGGGGAGUUCAUCUGGCUCAUAGAGUGACACCUUUUCUUCCCUACUUUGGAGGCCUCCUGGUAUGUCCAUGCUUCAACCACACACCAAGGGUACAGGAGAUUGUCACUGUAUCAAUUUAGAGACCACAUUAUAGAAACAUGGAUUUGGUUUGGAUAGUAAAAUUCAGAUUAAAGUUGGUUUAAAACAUAACCUGUCUCAUUGGAUGCUCUCUAGUUCAGUCACCCACAUUCUCCAUCCUCUCUGGGGAAAAUACCUAAGAAGUUUAUCACAGUCUAGCAAGUGAAACUUGGACAAUAAUGAGGUGAUGGGCUAAACCAUUCUGCUAUUCUUUUACUUCCCAAUGAUUUGGACAGGGCUUUACUGGGAAACUGAUAGCACAAUAGCUCUUUGUAACUUAACCUGUUGUUCAAAUGGCUUCGAAAGAUGGAACAUGCUAAAACCAAUGUCUAACAUGAUAUUAUUAAAUACCAAAGUUUAUUAUCUUCAGAAUUCAA
Molecule: long non-coding RNA, 3133 nt
Organism: Pseudopipra pipra
Lineage: Eukaryota; Metazoa; Chordata; Aves; Passeriformes; Pipridae
Exons: 2
Source: RefSeq, a predicted model, not a curated record